This 497-nucleotide ribosomal RNA is filed under the name uncultured bacterium. Its description in RNAcentral is "partial 16S ribosomal RNA". It matches the Rfam family "Bacterial small subunit ribosomal RNA", at positions 28 to 507 of the family's 1533-position model. The record is from RNAcentral.
GAUGAACGCUGGCGGCGUGCCUAAUACAUGCAAGUCGAGCGAACAGACGAGGAGCUUGCUCCUCUGACGUUAGCGGCGGACGGGUGAGUAACACGUGGAUAACCUACCUAUAAGACUGGGAUAACUUCGGGAAACCGGAGCUAAUACCGGAUAAUAUAUUGAACCGCAUGGUUCAAUAGUGAAAGACGGUUUUGCUGUCACUUAUAGAUGGAUCCGCGCCGCAUUAGCUAGUUGGUAAGGUAACGGCUUACCAAGGCAACGAUGCGUAGCCGACCUGAGAGGGUGAUCGGCCACACUGGAACUGAGACACGGUCCAGACUCCUACGGGAGGCAGCAGUAGGGAAUCUUCCGCAAUGGGCGAAAGCCUGACGGAGCAACGCCGCGUGAGUGAUGAAGGUCUUCGGAUCGUAAAACUCUGUUAUUAGGGAAGAACAAAUGUGUAAGUAACUAUGCACGUCUUGACGGUACCUAAUCAGAAAGCAACGGCUAACUGCGUG